This 995-nucleotide ribosomal RNA is filed under the name Liloa mongii. RNAcentral describes it as "SSU rRNA". It matches the Rfam family "Eukaryotic small subunit ribosomal RNA", at positions 25 to 989 of the family's 1831-position model. The record is from RNAcentral. Lineage: Eukaryota; Metazoa; Mollusca; Gastropoda; Cephalaspidea; Haminoeidae.
CAUAUGCUUGUCUCAAAGAUUAAGCCAUGCAUGUCUAAGUUCACACUGUCUCACGGUGAAACCGCGAAUGGCUCAUUAAAUCAGUCGAGGUUCCUUAGAUGACACGAUCCUACUUGGAUAACUGUGGCAAUUCUAGAGCUAAUACAUGCCUAUGAAGCUCCGACCCUCGUGGAAAGAGCGCUUUUAUUAGUUCAAAACCAAUCGCCGGUCGUCUUCGGGCGGCCGGUGUCCCCUUUGGUGACUCUGGAUAACUUUGUGCUGAUCGCAUGGCCUUCGUGCCGGCGACGCAUCUUUCAAAUGUCUGCCCUAUCAAAUGUCGAUGGUACGUGAUAUGCCUACCAUGUUUGUAACGGGUAACGGGGAAUCAGGGUUCGAUUCCGGAGAGGGAGCAUGAGAAACGGCUACCACAUCCAAGGAAGGCAGCAGGCGCGCAACUUACCCACUCCCGGCACGGGGAGGUAGUGACGAAAAAUAACAAUACGGGACUCUCUACGAGGCUCCGUAAUUGGAAUGAGUACACUUUAAACCCUUUAACGAGGAUCUAUUGGAGGGCAAGUCUGGUGCCAGCAGCCGCGGUAAUUCCAGCUCCAAUAGCGUAUAUUAAAGUUGUUGCAGUUAAAAAGCUCGUAGUUGGAUCUCAGGUGCAGGCGGACGGUCCGGCUCGCGCCGGUUCACUGUCCGUAUUUCCUGCCCUACUGGUCUGCCGGCUCUCUCCCGUGGGUGCUCUUCGCUGAGCGUCCCGGGUGGCCGGCGCGUUUACUUUGAAAAAAUUAGAGUGUUCAAAGCAGGCCUCGGCUGCCUGAAUAAUGGUGCAUGGAAUAAUGGAAUAGGACCUCGGUUCUAUUUUGUUGGUUUUCGGAACUGGAGGUAAUGAUUAAAAGGGACAAACGGGGGCAUUCGUAUUGCGGCGUUAGAGGUGAAAUUCUUGGAUCGCCGCAAGACGAGCUACUGCGAAAGCAUUUGUCAAGAAUGUUUUCAUUAAUCAAGAACGAAAG